GGUCCUUCGGGGCCCAGUGGCGCACGGGUGCGUAACGCGUAUGCAACCUACCUUCGACUGGGGGAUAGCCCGGAGAAAUCCGGAUUAAUACCGCAUAACACCAUGUGAGGACAUCCGAGUAUGGUUAAAGAUUCAUCGGUCGAAGAUGGGCAUGCGUGCCAUUAGCUAGUUGGUGGUGUAACGGACCACCAAGGCGACGAUGGCUAGGGGUUCUGAGAGGACGGUCCCCCACACUGGCACUGAGAUACGGGCCAGACUCCUACGGGAGGCAGCAGUAGGGAAUAUUGGGCAAUGGGCGGAAGCCUGACCCAGCCAUGCCGCGUGCAGGAUGAAGGCCUUCUGGGUUGUAAACUGCUUUUAUCAGGGAAGAAAACACCCAUGCGUGGGGAACUGACGGUACCUGAGGAAUAAGCACCGGCUAACUCCGUGCCAGCAGCCGCGGUAAUACGGAGGGUGCAAGCGUUGUCCGGAUUUAUUGGGUUUAAAGGGUGCGUAGGCGGCCCAUUAAGUCAGUGGUGAAAGCCCGGGGCUCAACCCCGGAACCGCCAUUGAUACUGGUGGGCUUGAGUAUGGACGAGGUUGGCGGAAUUGAGGGUGUAGCGGUGAAAUGCUUAAAUACCCUCAAGAACACCGAUUGCGUAGGCAGCUAACUAGGCCAUAACUGACGCUGAGGCACGAAAGCGUGGGGAGCGAACAGGAUUAGAUACCCUGGUAGUCCACGCCGUAAACGAUGACUACUCGAUGUCGGCGACAAACCGUCGGCGUCUUAACGAAAGCGUUAAGUAGUCCACCUG
RNAcentral lists this ribosomal RNA (794 nucleotides) under bacterium. RNAcentral's name for it is "bacterial SSU rRNA". It matches the Rfam family "Bacterial small subunit ribosomal RNA", at positions 74 to 875 of the family's 1533-position model. The record is from RNAcentral.